This 252-nucleotide ribosomal RNA is filed under the name uncultured prokaryote. Its description in RNAcentral is "partial 16S rRNA". It matches the Rfam family "Archaeal small subunit ribosomal RNA", at positions 475 to 726 of the family's 1478-position model. The record is from RNAcentral.
CCCGGCAGCUCAAGUGUUUUCCUUCAUUCUUUGGCCUAAAGCGUUCGUAGCCGGUUUGAUAAGUCUCUGGUGAAAUCCCGCAGCUUAACUGUGGGACUUGCUGGAGAUACUAUCAGACUUGAGGUCGGGAGAGGUUAGGGGUACUCCCAGGGUAGGGGUGAAAUCCUAUAAUCCUGGGAGGACCACCUGUGGCGAAGGCGCCUAACUGGAACGAACCUGACGGUGAGUAACGAAAGCCAGGGGCGCGAACCG